Molecule: ribosomal RNA, 497 nt
Filed under: uncultured bacterium
Lineage: Bacteria
Description: partial 16S ribosomal RNA
Rfam family: Bacterial small subunit ribosomal RNA
Source: RNAcentral
GAUGAACGCUGGCGGCGUGCCUAAUACAUGCAAGUCGAGCGAACAGAUAAGGAGCUUGCUCCUUUGACGUUAGCGGCGGACGGGUGAGUAACACGUGGGUAACCUACCUAUAAGACUGGGAUAACUUCGGGAAACCGGAGCUAAUACCGGAUAACAUUUGGAACCGCAUGGUUCUAAAGUGAAAGAUGGUUUUGCUAUCACUUAUAGAUGGACCCGCGCCGUAUUAGCUAGUUGGUAAGGUAACGGCUUACCAAGGCGACGAUACGUAGCCGACCUGAGAGGGUGAUCGGCCACACUGGAACUGAGACACGGUCCAGACUCCUACGGGAGGCAGCAGUAGGGAAUCUUCCGCAAUGGGCGAAAGCCUGACGGAGCAACGCCGUGUGAGUGAUGAAGGGUUUCGGCUCGUAAAACUCUGUUAUUAGGGAAGAACAAAUGUGUAAGUAACUGUGCACGUCUUGACGGUACCUAAUCAGAAAGCCACGGCUAACUACGUG